Long non-coding RNA from Mirounga angustirostris (Northern elephant seal), 881 nucleotides. RefSeq lists it as uncharacterized. The record is from RefSeq and is a predicted model, not a curated record. The transcript has 4 exons. NCBI's taxonomy places the organism in Eukaryota, Metazoa, Chordata, Mammalia, Carnivora, Phocidae.
AGCAAUUUUGGAGACACCUGUCUGGCAAGCGAGCACUGCAGAAGAGCUCGACCGCACCGGAGGUUGUCUGCGGAUGAGUCCUCCACGCGGGCCACAAAAGCGCCCAGAACGCCGGGUUCAGAGACCUGCGGGCAGAAGGACGGCGGCGGACAGCACAGGACCCACGGAAGAGAAUAAAAAGCAGCUGUUUUGCAGAGUACUGUGUAAUGCAGCAUCUCCCUGCAAGCCUGUUAUCUUUGCCACAAUGAAAUCAACUCACUGAGCUGCUUCAUCACAAUGCUGAGGGAGUAAAUCCUUCUGGCAACACAGUUAGAUAUCCACAGAGCACCUACUAUGUGCCAGGGAUGAUGGCACAUGAUGGCAACACAGCAGUGUGGAGAGAAGAUGGAAUUCCAGCCCUCACGGAACUUAACAUAACAAGCAAGAAACAAGUGCAUUAAAAAUCUCAGACUGCCACGGUGACACCAGAGAGAAAUGAGGCCACCCAGACAACUUAAUGAAUUCCACCAGGCUCCAUCCCUUUCUGUCACCCGUCGCCCCAGUGUUCUGGUAAUACUGACAGCCCGGGCAUCAUCGAGCUCUUCCUCUGGCCAGCUCCCAUGUCCAACGUGCCACAGGCAACCUGUGUGUAAGCCUUCAGCAACUACGGUAGUUAAGUGGCUGAGCUGAGACUGGACCCAAGUCUACCGAUUCUAAAGCCCGAGCACCUGCACCUGGCCAUCCCUGGUCAGUUACUGCAGGAAACCUCUGUUUCCAGGGCCGCAUCUGCUGAAGAUACUUAGGGAAAAGGAAGGAGGUUUCUGGAACCCUGUGGCACCAAAGAGCACUAGCAUUAUUGCUAGAGGGACCUCCGUUUCAGUCUCAGCUCUGCAUUUACUUGU